This 429-nucleotide ribosomal RNA is filed under the name uncultured bacterium. RNAcentral's name for it is "bacterial SSU rRNA". It matches the Rfam family "Bacterial small subunit ribosomal RNA", at positions 355 to 776 of the family's 1533-position model. The record is from RNAcentral.
UAGGGAAUCUUCGGCAAUGGGCGAAAGCCUGACCGAGCAACGCCGCGUGAAUGAUGAAGGCCUUCGGGUUGUAAAAUUCUGUUAUAAGGGAAGAACGACUUUAGUAGGAAAUGGCUAGAGUGUGACGGUACCUUAUGAGAAAGCCACGGCUAACUACGUGCCAGCAGCCGCGGUAAUACGUAGGUGGCGAGCGUUAUCCGGAAUUAUUGGGCGUAAAGAGCGCGCAGGUGGUUGAUUAAGUCUGAUGUGAAAGCCCACGGCUUAACCGUGGAGGGUCAUUGGAAACUGGUCAACUUGAGUGCAGAAGAGGGAAGUGGAAUUCCAUGUGUAGCGGUGAAAUGCGUAGAGAUAUGGAGGAACACCAGUGGCGAAGGCGGCUUCCUGGUCUGUAACUGACACUGAGGCGCGAAAGCGUGGGGAGCAAACAGG